ACGCCGGCGUAGUUCUGCCAGUCGUCUGGAGUUGCCGCCACCGUCGCCAGCUGGACCCUCGGCAGCCGCUGCUGUCGUUCUCGGGCUCCGAUGAGGCCGAGGAAGUUGCCGUUGUUGCGGCUCGACUGUGCAGGGCCGCGUUCGAUGCCUUUCUAAAAGCUAAGUUCGAAGCUUGUCUACUUGAAGUUUCCGUUAUGUAGGAGAUACAAAGGAGCUAUGUUCUAAGUCGUAUGAUUCAUUCAAUCUCUUAAAUAUUUCAUAAUCAAUGUGUGAGGUCCUCAUGGUUUGUGUUCUAGAGUGCAGUGGCAGUAUACACAUAAGUCUUUCUAUUGCUAUACAUAACAUGGACUGUUUGAUGUAGUGGUAAAACAUGAUUAUGCUCGUUGGUAUGAAUGCGAACUCGAUUGGAUAACUGAGGUAGUAUAAAUACCUUGAAUGAUGCUUGCUUUGGUGUUUGUUGGCUGUUGUGGUUGGAUUAAAUGAAGCAGCAGAUCGAACUGAAAUAAUAAAGUUGUUCUUGCAUUAAUGCAGGUGGAAUAAGGGAAGAAGGUGGAGCAUUGAAGACAAGCUUACCUUGAGAAUACUUGGUAGGAUGAAUUAAAGGCUCACUUCUCCUUGUGCAGUCCUCAAAUGAAGAAUGAAGAGAAUGCAACAAUGUUGGCUGUUUUGAAUGACGAGGUGGUUUGGCUGGGAGCUUGUAUACAUGGGAGGAGGUACAUUCUAGGGUGGCUGAUUGACAUAUUUAGGUGUACUUGGGCAUGGCAGCCUGCUGCAUAGGCGUGGGAAAAAAAAAAAGUGCAGCAAGCUCAAGAGGGGAUAGGGGAGUGUGCAGCACAUGUCUCCACCCCCUUUCUCUUUUUCCCAUUUUCUUGAACUUAGGGGGGUGGCAGAGUACUGUAGCAACACUGUUGAGUACUGUAGCAAUAACUAUUGAGUACUGUAGCGGC
RNAcentral lists this long non-coding RNA (947 nucleotides) under Salvia miltiorrhiza (redroot sage). RNAcentral's name for it is "long non-coding RNA (SMIL_LNC005004)". The record is from RNAcentral. Lineage: Eukaryota; Viridiplantae; Streptophyta; Magnoliopsida; Lamiales; Lamiaceae.